AGCACUGGAUUGCAUUCUGAACGGCUGCUGCAACCUUCAUGUACCGUUCUACGUUUGGGUCCUGUUCCUCAAAAGCUAACAGUGCAUGUUCGCGUCUUUGAAAGUUCGUAACUUGAAGCAGCUGUUUGGCCGCUGCAGUUUUCAGGAUUACUGCCUGCUGAUGAUGCUGAUUGAAAGUACAGGCUAUGCCCUGAUCUUGAAAUCCUGCAGCUGUUUGUGGUCAAGGCUAUUGCAUACAAUGAACAUUCAAGUUUGGACUUUAAGUAUAUCUUCUUUUUAUUAGUUGCAAACUAUAAACUUGAAAUAUUGUGCUUAAAAAGUGGUGUUUGAAUAAACCAGGUUUUGUAGAUUAUCCUGAUCAUUAAGAUAUGUUGAAUAAAAGGAAAUAUUUCUUUUGUUGGGCAGGGCUAAGUAGCCAGAUUAGAUACUUAUCUUUUAUGUGAGAUUAUAUAAAGUAGCACGCAGAAUAUAUUUGAUUACUGUUCAAAUUUUUCACUUUAUAUUAAUGUUGAAAUUAAUUUGAACUGACUAAUAAGCUAAUAAUAAAAUAUCCAUCAAAAAUAAAUAAUUUUAAUUAAAUACUCUCAUGUUCCAGCUGAUGUUAUUGAAUAUUCUUUUCCCCUAAAAAUCGACUAAACUGGAAAUACUUUU
Molecule: long non-coding RNA, 651 nt
Organism: Balaenoptera acutorostrata (minke whale)
Lineage: Eukaryota; Metazoa; Chordata; Mammalia; Artiodactyla; Balaenopteridae
Exons: 3
Source: RefSeq, a predicted model, not a curated record